RNAcentral lists this ribosomal RNA (873 nucleotides) under Mammaliicoccus sciuri. Its description in RNAcentral is "bacterial SSU rRNA". It matches the Rfam family "Bacterial small subunit ribosomal RNA", at positions 56 to 912 of the family's 1533-position model. The record is from RNAcentral. Lineage: Bacteria; Bacillati; Bacillota; Bacilli; Caryophanales; Staphylococcaceae.
UGCAGUCGAGCGAACAGAUGAGAAGCUUGCUUCUCUGAUGUUAGCGGCGGACGGGUGAGUAACACGUGGGUAACCUACCUAUAAGACUGGGAUAACUCCGGGAAACCGGGGCUAAUACCGGAUAAUAUUUUGAACCGCAUGGUUCAAUAGUGAAAGACGGUUUCGGCUGUCACUUAUAGAUGGACCCGCGCCGUAUUAGCUAGUUGGUAAGGUAACGGCUUACCAAGGCGACGAUACGUAGCCGACCUGAGAGGGUGAUCGGCCACACUGGAACUGAGACACGGUCCAGACUCCUACGGGAGGCAGCAGUAGGGAAUCUUCCGCAAUGGGCGAAAGCCUGACGGAGCAACGCCGCGUGAGUGAUGAAGGUCUUCGGAUCGUAAAACUCUGUUGUUAGGGAAGAACAAAUUUGUUAGUAACUGAACAAGUCUUGACGGUACCUAACCAGAAAGCCACGGCUAACUACGUGCCAGCAGCCGCGGUAAUACGUAGGUGGCAAGCGUUAUCCGGAAUUAUUGGGCGUAAAGCGCGCGUAGGCGGUUUCUUAAGUCUGAUGUGAAAGCCCACGGCUCAACCGUGGAGGGUCAUUGGAAACUGGGAAACUUGAGUGCAGAAGAGGAGAGUGGAAUUCCAUGUGUAGCGGUGAAAUGCGCAGAGAUAUGGAGGAACACCAGUGGCGAAGGCGGCUCUCUGGUCUGUAACUGACGCUGAUGUGCGAAAGCGUGGGGAUCAAACAGGAUUAGAUACCCUGGUAGUCCACGCCGUAAACGAUGAGUGCUAAGUGUUAGGGGUUUCCGCCCCUUAGUGCUGCAGCUAACGCAUUAAGCACUCCGCCUGGGGAGUACGACCGCAAGGUUGAAACUCAAGGAAUUG